RNAcentral lists this ribosomal RNA (253 nucleotides) under uncultured bacterium. RNAcentral describes it as "partial 16S ribosomal RNA". It matches the Rfam family "Bacterial small subunit ribosomal RNA", at positions 524 to 776 of the family's 1533-position model. The record is from RNAcentral.
UACGGGGGGGGCAAGCGUUGUUCGGAAUUACUGGGCGUAAAGGGCUCGUAGGCGGCCAACUAAGUCGGAUGUGAAAUCCCCAGGCUCAACUUGGGAACUGCAUCCGAUACUGGAUGGCUUGAAUUCGGGAGAGGGAUGCAGAAUUCCUGGUGUAGCGGUGAAAUGCGUAGAUAUCAGGAGGAACACCAGCGGCGAAGGCGGCGCUCUGGGCCGGUACUGACACUGAGGAGCGAAAGCUGGGGGAGCGAACAGG